UAAGGAAUUAAUCUUUACAAGUUAUCUAUUCAUUCAUCUAAUACCAGCAAUAUUCAAAAAGCAUUUAAUCUUUACAAAGACAAGGAAUACAAGUCAAAUCAUCCAAAUUUACAUAUGGAAUACUAUCUGCUUCACAUAGAACAAAUGUCAAUAUGUAUGAUCGCCUCUGAUGCUAGGAAAGCAUGGUACUUCUUAGCAAGCUUUUUGACCAGCUUCUUGAUUGCACACUGGAAAUAAGUCACAACCAUGAAGCAACACCACUUUCCACCACUUU
RNAcentral lists this long non-coding RNA (274 nucleotides) under Phoenix dactylifera (date palm). RNAcentral's name for it is "long non-coding RNA (PDAC_LNC019100)". The record is from RNAcentral. Lineage: Eukaryota; Viridiplantae; Streptophyta; Magnoliopsida; Arecales; Arecaceae.